RNAcentral lists this ribosomal RNA (483 nucleotides) under uncultured bacterium. Its description in RNAcentral is "partial 16S ribosomal RNA". It matches the Rfam family "Bacterial small subunit ribosomal RNA", at positions 28 to 507 of the family's 1533-position model. The record is from RNAcentral.
GAUGAACGCUGGCGGCGUGCCUAACACAUGCAAGUCGAACGGAGUCGUUUUGGAAAUCUCUUCGGAGAUGGAAUUCUCGACUUAGUGGCGGACGGGUGAGUAACGCGUGAGCAAUCUGCCUUUAAGAGGGGGAUAACAGUCGGAAACGGCUGCUAAUACCGCAUAAAGCAUUAAAUUCGCAUGUUUUUGAUGCCAAAGGAGCAAUCCGCUUUUAGAUGAGCUCGCGUCUGAUUAGCUAGUUGGCGGGGUAACGGCCCACCAAGGCGACGAUCAGUAGCCGGACUGAGCGGUUGAACGGCCACAUUGGGACUGAGACACGGCCCAGACUCCUACGGGAGGCAGCAGGGGGGAAUAUUGCGCAAGGGGGGAACCCCUGACGCAGCAACGCCGCGUGAUGGAAGAAGGCCUUCGGGUUGUAAAGAUCUUUAAUCAGGGACGAAACAAAUGACGGUACCUGAAGAAUAAGCCCCGGCUAACUACGUG